AUUGAACGCUGGCGGCAGGUCUAACACAUGCAAGUCGAGCGGAUGAAGGGAGUUUGCUCUUGGAUUCAGCGGCGGACGGGUGAGUAAUGCCUAGGAAUCUGCCUGGUAGUGGGGGAUAACGUCCGGAAACGGGCGCUAAUACCGCAUACGUCCUGAGGGAGAAAGUGGGGGAUCUUCGGUCCUCACGCUAUCAGAUGAGCCUAGGUCGGAUUAGCUAGUUGGUGGGGGAAAGGCCUACUAAGGCGACGAUCCGUAACUGGUCUGAGCGGAUGAUCAGUCACACUGGAACUGAAACACGGUCCAGACUCCUACGGGAGGCAACAGUGGGGAAUAUUGGACAAUGGGCGAAAUCCUGAUCCAGCCGUGCCGCGUGUGUGAAGAAGGUCUUGGGAUUGUAAAGCACAUUAAGUUGGGAGGAAGGGCAGUGAGUUAAUGCCUUGCUGUUUUGACGUUACCAACAGAAUAAGCACCGGCUAACUUCGUG
RNAcentral lists this ribosomal RNA (484 nucleotides) under uncultured bacterium. RNAcentral describes it as "partial 16S ribosomal RNA". It matches the Rfam family "Bacterial small subunit ribosomal RNA", at positions 30 to 507 of the family's 1533-position model. The record is from RNAcentral.